GACGAACGCUGGCGGCGUGCCUAAUACAUGCAAGUAGAACGCUGAAGGAGGAGCUUGCUUCUCUGGAUGAGUUGCGAACGGGUGAGUAACGCGUAGGUAACCUGCCUGGUAGCGGGGGAUAACUAUUGGAAACGAUAGCUAAUACCGCAUAAGAGUAGAUGUUGCAUGACAUUUGCUUAAAAGGUGCAAUUGCAUCACUACCAGAUGGACCUGCGUUGUAUUAGCUAGUUGGUGGGGUAACGGCUUACCAAGGCGACGAUACAUAGCCGACCGGAGAGGGGGAGCGGCCACUCUGGGACUGAGACACGGCCCAGACGCCUACGGGAGGCAGCAGGAGGGAAUCUUGGGCAAUGGACGGAAGUCUGACCGAGAAACGCCGCGUGAGUGAAGAAGGUUGUCGGAUCGGAAAGCUCGGUUGUAAGGGAAGAAAGAGUGUGAGAGUGGAAAGUUCACACUGUGACGGUAACUUACCAGAAAGAGACGGCUAACUACGUG
This 495-nucleotide ribosomal RNA is filed under the name uncultured bacterium. RNAcentral describes it as "partial 16S ribosomal RNA". It matches the Rfam family "Bacterial small subunit ribosomal RNA", at positions 28 to 507 of the family's 1533-position model. The record is from RNAcentral.